Molecule: non-coding RNA, 58 nt
Organism: Rattus norvegicus (Norway rat)
Lineage: Eukaryota; Metazoa; Chordata; Mammalia; Rodentia; Muridae
Source: Rfam
UGGCUCAGUGGUUAAGAGCACUGGCUGUUCUUCCAGAGGACUUGGGUUCAAUUCCCAG